This 84-nucleotide transfer RNA is filed under the name Bacteroidota bacterium. RNAcentral's name for it is "Bacteroidetes bacterium (activated sludge metagenome) tRNA-Leu". It matches the Rfam family "tRNA". Rfam says of the family: Transfer RNA (tRNA) molecules are approximately 80 nucleotides in length. Their secondary structure includes four short double-helical elements and three loops (D, anti-codon, and T loops). Lineage: Bacteria; Pseudomonadati; Bacteroidota. The record is from RNAcentral.
GCCCAGGUGGCGAAAUUGGCAGACGCGCCACUUUGAGGGGGUGGCGCCGGUAACGGUGUGCGAGUUCGACUCUCGUCUUGGGCA